GUUUGUCUUCAGAUCUUCUAGAUGAGGCACAAAGACUGUUUGGAUCAGCCUGCAAGCUUGCUUAAGCCCUUAAAACUGAUUUCAAUGGAAAUGGUCUGACUAAGCAUCCUUUGAAUGCCAGGGUAUGGUGUUAGCUAAGAGGAUGUAGAACAUCCUGUCUGGAAGAUGUGAAAGAUGGCAUCUAAAGCAGAACUGCAGUACCAGAUAGCACUUUUUAUGGACUCUCGAAAAGAGACAUGGCUGGGGAAGAGUGUGUGAUGUGAGGUCAGGCCAAACCAAUGGGAAUUAUCUUGUAUCACAAAAGAAGGUGCUGAAAGGGUAAGGAGAGUAAAUGGCUUUAUAGGUUAAAUAAGCUUAAUGGCCUGCAUGAAAGCAAGCCAGUGAGAGGGUGAAAUGCCAAAGCAAGAUGAGACCAAAGUAAUGAUUUAUCCUGCUCUGCAAACCAUGGCUAUUAAAUGGGGAGAGGCUGGAAAUGCUGCUGGCUGGUCUGUAGUGAUGCUGCAUGACAAUGUCAGCAGGCAGUGUCAAAUCUCCUGAGUGCACGCUCCUGGGAGGAUAACGUAAAAUGCUGGCAACACCUUGGAAGAUGCCAAGGCAAUUUCUGGCAGAGGAAUGCUGCUGAGGAUCAUCCUGUCUGUUGGGUUCAAUUUCAACAGGCUUUUCCCUGAUGUGAAUGCCUCUGGAAAUCCUGCCUACCCCCAUGUUCCAGCUACCAAAGCCUCACCAGGGUUCAGAGUGCUCUCACCAACUGCGGUCUCACUGUGAUGGGUCCUGAUAAUGAAAAGCUGCUGAUGGCAACAGCUCUGUGCAUUGACCAGAAAGAGAAAUGUGUUUAGGAGCCUAGAAGAUUACAUAAAAAGACAGGGAUCUCUCAGUACCCCAAAUAACAAAGUUCUAAUUUAGGAAAGUGUUUAUAGAAGACAGCCUGGAGGGCAAAGUCCUUGGGGAAGAUGUCCAUUUUGUAAGAAUCUUCACAGAAGACUGGACAAAUGACUAGAGCAGGUAUUAAGAGUGCCAAUCUGGCAUUGCGUGUUGAUUGAUCGAUUCUCAGUGAAUUAUUUUUAUAAAUAAAUAAAUAAUAUAAAUAAGUAAUGAAUACA
This 1100-nucleotide long non-coding RNA is filed under the name Junco hyemalis (dark-eyed junco). RNAcentral's name for it is "lncRNA (ENSJHYG00000010245.1)". Lineage: Eukaryota; Metazoa; Chordata; Aves; Passeriformes; Passerellidae. The record is from RNAcentral.